Molecule: ribosomal RNA, 447 nt
Filed under: uncultured bacterium
Lineage: Bacteria
Description: bacterial SSU rRNA
Rfam family: Bacterial small subunit ribosomal RNA
Source: RNAcentral
UGCCAGACUCCUACGGGAGGCAGCAGUGGGGGAUAUUGCACAAUGGGGGAAACCCUGAUGCAGCGACGCCGCGUGGGUGAAGAAGCGCCUCGGCGCGUAAAGCCCUGUCAGCAGGGAAGAAAAUGACGGUACCUGAAGAAGAAGCCCCGGCUAACUACGUGCCAGCAGCCGCGGUAAUACGUAGGGGGCAAGCGUUAUCCGGAUUUACUGGGUGUAAAGGGGGCGCAGACGGCGAUGCAAGCCAGGAGUGAAAGCCCGGGGCUCAACCCCGGGACUGCAUUUGAAACUGUCAGGCUGGAGUGCAGGAGAGGUAAGUGGAAUUCCUAGUGUAGCGGUGAAAUGCGUAGAUAUUAGGAGGAACACCAGUGGCGAAGGCGGCUUACUGGACUGUAACUGACGUUGAGGCUCGAAAGCGUGGGGAGCAAACAGGAUUAGAUACCCCGGUAC